UAUCAGACAGGUUAACUUGUAGCCAAAUAUAAAGAUUCAGUUUCUUUAAAUUUAGUAUAUAUUAUCUGUGAUACAAACACACUGCAUGCAUAGCUUUCACCGGGAUCACUCUAUAUCACUCCCACAGGACUUGUGGGACAGGAGAAACCAACAUGAAUAUGAAGUGCAUGCUGCUUGCUGGACUAGAGAAAAGGACACAUAGAGACACAGAGAAGGAGACUAUGUGAAGAUGGAGGAAGAGACUAAAGUGAUCCAGCUACAAACCAAGGUGAUCACCUCAAAUUUACUGCCACUAACAACAUUCCACUGAAGAACUAAAAUGCAUGGAGGACUCCUGAAAUGUCUGCAUUCCAACUCGAGGGUGCCAUGUGACUAUGUUUGAUCACUGGAAUACGGACCAAAUUGAUCUACUCUACUUCUAGGUCUAGCUCGUCUUUGAUACUAGUAUCCACGGAAAUCUUGAAGACACUUGGUGAAGAUGGUAGAAAGUCCAUUGUCCUCCGUUACAAAUAAAGCUCUCUUGUGUUUACCCACUGAAAUUUAGAGGUUUACUGAUUAUAGCAGCUAUCAUUACCUUCUAUGUUCCCUAAUCCAUACAAUGGACAAUGAAAGUCAACCGUAGACUGAAUUCUGCAAAAUGUAAAAAAUUUAUUAGCAAGAAAGUACAUAAGCAGCUAUACCACUUGAUCUUAUAAGAUGACCUUAGCCCUUUUGAUAAAAACCUUGAAUAAAAGGUUGACUAGAAGCAGAUAAAACAAUACUCUCAUGGCAGAAUCAGCUAACAGUGCAGUUGAGUCUCCUCAAGCCUUCAAGUUUGUCCCUCCAAAUUUGGUGCUUUCUUUAUCCCCUAGCAGUUACCCCUUCUCAUGCAUCUGAAUUCUUAGCCUUUUGGACAGGAAUGCGAUCCACACAUAUACCCCAUAGAAUUGUACAUCAUCUUCCCACCUCUCCAAUUUUCCUCUGUAAUGGAAUUUUAAACUCUCUAGUCAGCUGUUCCCUCAGUUUUCUGUUGUCAUUAAAUAGAUGAUAUAUGUGGAUUUAUAUAUAUUUUCUGGC
RNAcentral lists this long non-coding RNA (1056 nucleotides) under Equus caballus (horse). Its description in RNAcentral is "lncRNA (ENSECAG00000036466.3)". The record is from RNAcentral. Lineage: Eukaryota; Metazoa; Chordata; Mammalia; Perissodactyla; Equidae.